AGGAUGAACGCUGGCGGCGUGCCUAAUACAUGCAAGUCGAACGAGGUGCUUUUGUAGCAAUACGAGAGUAUCCUAGUGGCGAACGGGUGAGUAACGCGUUGGUGACCUACCCAAAGUGUGGAAUAACAGUCCGAAAGGAUUGCUAAUACCGCAUGUGGUUAUCGGGUUUAGAAACUGAUAACUAAAGGAGCAAUUCGCUUUGGGAGGGACCUGCGUUCCCCGAUACGACGU
This 231-nucleotide ribosomal RNA is filed under the name uncultured soil bacterium. RNAcentral's name for it is "partial 16S ribosomal RNA". It matches the Rfam family "Bacterial small subunit ribosomal RNA", at positions 26 to 253 of the family's 1533-position model. The record is from RNAcentral.